UACAGAGGUCCCAAGCGUUGUUCGGAUUCAUUGGGCGUAAAGGGUGCGUAGGCGGCGCGGUAAGUCGGGUGUGAAAUCUCGGAGCUUAACUCCGAAACUGCAUUCGAUACUGCUGUGCUUGAGGACUGGAGAGGAGACUGGAAUUUACGGUGUAGCGGUGAAAUGCGUAGAUAUCGUAAGGAAGACCAGUGGCGAAGGCGGGUCUCUGGGCAACAACUGACGCUGAGGAGCGAAAGCGUGGGGAGCAAACAGG
This 253-nucleotide ribosomal RNA is filed under the name uncultured bacterium. Its description in RNAcentral is "partial 16S ribosomal RNA". It matches the Rfam family "Bacterial small subunit ribosomal RNA", at positions 524 to 776 of the family's 1533-position model. The record is from RNAcentral.